UACAGAGGUCUCAAGCGUUGUUCGGAUUCAUUGGGCGUAAAGGGUGCGUAGGUGGCAGGGUAAGUCGGAUGUGAAAUCCCGGGGCUCAACCUCGGAACUGCACUCGAAACUACCAUUCUUGAGUGUCGGAGAGGAAAGCGGAAUUCCUGGUGUAGAGGUGAAAUUCGUAGAUAUCAGGAGGAACACCAGUGGCGAAGGCGGCUUUCUGGACGAUAACUGACGCUGAGACGCGAAAGCGUGGGGAGCAAACAGG
Molecule: ribosomal RNA, 253 nt
Filed under: uncultured bacterium
Lineage: Bacteria
Description: partial 16S ribosomal RNA
Rfam family: Bacterial small subunit ribosomal RNA
Source: RNAcentral